This 428-nucleotide ribosomal RNA is filed under the name uncultured bacterium. RNAcentral's name for it is "partial 16S ribosomal RNA". It matches the Rfam family "Bacterial small subunit ribosomal RNA", at positions 354 to 796 of the family's 1533-position model. The record is from RNAcentral.
GUCAGGAGUCUUGCACAAUGGGGGAAACCCUGAUGCAGCGACGUCGCGUGUGGGAUGAAGUAUUUCGGUAUGUAAACCACUUUUGCGGGGGGCGAAAAAAAUGACGGUACCCCGCGAAUAAGCCCCGGCUAACUACGUGCCAGCAGCCGCGGUAAUACGUAGGGGGCGAGCGUUGCUCGGAUUGACUGGGCGUAAAGCGCGCGUAGGCGGUCCAUUAAGUGUGCGGUGAAAUUCGGAGGCUCAACCUCCGUCCCGCCGCGCAAACUGAUGGUCUUGAGAUUGGGAGGGGGAUGCGGAAUUCCUGGUGUAGCGGUGAAAUGCAUUGAUAUCAGGAGGAACACCGGCGGCGAAAGCGGCAUCCUGGCUUAUAUCUGACGCUGAGGCGCGAAAGCGUGGGUAGCAAACGGGAUUAGAAACCCGUGUAGUCC